UCCUCUUAUGCCCCCCUCCCCUCCACGGUCUCUCCCUCUCUCUCUCUGACUUAGACUCUCGAGCGCCGGCCCCAGGAUGACAAUCACAACCAAGGCGCGCGGAUCUCUUCCAACUUUCGUCCCCUUCUAAGUCGGGGUGGAGCGGCGGUUCCGACGCAAGGCAGGCCCUGGUGGCCUGUCCGCCUGUACCGAAGCACAAAGGGAACGACGCCGCGGACUGCGCGCCAGUGAACGCUCUGCUCUCUACGCCACAGUAAAUCGCGGAGUUAGCGGAUUUCUUGUUAGCCAGGAGACUGGGCUCCAAGGCGGAUUGCUACCCACCCUCCCCUAGCUUUUCCCCCAAGCGAGGGGACCCGAGAGCGAGUUGUAGAUCCGUAAUUAGGGCCCCUAGGAGAGUCGUAUGAAUGCCAGAGUCCAGGACGCAGGAAGUCCAGGGUGGACUGUCCCCCUCCGCCAGCAGCAGCAGGUGGGCGAGAAACAGGCCUUGGACGGCUUCAGCCCGGGCUCCCUUCCACCAAUUCCCUGCCAAACAGCGAGGGUCAGACACUGGGGACCUGGUACUAAGAGGGUAGCCUUUCUCCAGAGAGGUAGUGGGCAAGAGCCGUCAGGCGGAGAAGCAGCUACACAGGAACAGGUCUCCGGACUCUACAACACCCCCUCCCACCAUGCCUCGCUGCCUCUUUCUUGGGGUUUUGCAUCAGCCGCAGCUCGCCCCGCCAGGCCGGUGGUGGUGGUGGUGGACGGUGCGGGUCCCCUUCCCUUUCGCAGGAACUCUCGCACCCGCCCACGCUCCACUGCUAACGCUCCGCGGAGCACUAACCAACCCAACCACUGUUCAGCGAGCCGCUGGCAAGGCAAACACACACACACACACACACACACACAAUUGAGUCACAGGCCGAGCCCUUGCCCACGAAGCCACACAGAAUACAAAAGAGACCCUUUGCCUGUUUCUCCACCCCGCGCCUCCACAAGCCAUAGACGCACUCGAACUCUGGGACAGACAGGCGCUGGUGAACCCGGACCGGGGCUGGCACAGUGGUGGGCACUCCGCUGAAACCCAGCAGAUCAAGGACUUUGUGGCCUUCUAUAAUGAAUGGGGUCACAGGCAAGCCGAAGUUUGACCAUACACCAAAUUUCCUACAAUGACUCUGACAGGCGAGAUUCACUUUAUUUCCUGAACUCCAGCCCCGGCACACAAACCCACUCUGCACUCUCACUUGCCCAGCUGCUCGACUCCACGCACGCGCAUUGACUCCUCCCCGUCAGCUUCCCUAGGCUCCGCCCCUCAGGCGGACGUUCUCUCACAGCCUCUCAUUCCGCCCGGCUCCGGCCCUCCCUGCCUUCACCGCUGAUUGGACGCUGGCCUCUACUGGCUCCGCCCUUCAGCGACGUGAGCCCGUUUCCUUCUGAGUCGGUGCGCCGAGGGGGCGGGGCGGGGCGGGGCGUCGGCGCCCCAUUGUCAUGGAGACGGGAAGCCGGCGCCGGUGGUGGCCCGCACAGCCCAGCGGAGGUGGCAGCGAGCCGGCCGUGACUGAGGCGAGGCCGAGCCGGGACUAUGCAGAACCGACCACUGGCUGCCUCUCAAGCAGCCAAGGGGCAGUGUCCUCCCAGGCUCAGUCUACUCCCGGGUGGUGCGGGGAGUGCCCAGGGGAGCGUCCCCGCCCUGCUCCUGUCUCUCCCGCCUCUUGCGGCCCCUCUGCUCCCCAGCGCCGCCCCCGGCUCCGCCCGCCGCCCCCGCCGCAGCCGCCACCACCGCAGCCCCUCGCGCUAACGGUCGGUAGCGGCCCGCGCGCGCCGCCAGCCGGGGGCUAGCGCCAGCCACGAGGGAGCGUCCGCGGCCUGCGCACCCGCGCCACAGCGGAGAGAGUCUACAGUUCAUAAUGGAGCAACUGCACUGGCUGUUGGAAGGAGAAGAUUCUGAAGAUAGGGAGGAACCUUCUUAUUCAAAACACCUUUCAAAGUCAAUGCAUAAAAAUAGCAGGCAGCUUCCACUUGCAGGCCUUUUGAAGCUGGAGAAGAGGUGUUUUUCAUGAGAAGAAACUGAGUCCCAGGAAGAUGAAAUGACUUGCUACAUCAGCCACAAGUACUCGCUCAGCAUGAACUGGGCACUGGGAGCUGGACAGCAUCGGCCAUAGAGUGGAGACCACAGUGGACACGGCCCUUCAUAAAUCCUGAGGCUAUGCAUUCAAGACUAUAAAUUUCUCUUUAAGCACUGCUUUCUCUCCCCCACAAAUUUUGAAUCUGGAGUUACUUCACAUUUUUCUUGCUUCUCCCUCUGCUCCAGCCCUCAAGCAGUGAGCCUUGCCCAGGCAUAUUUCUUCUUCUGUUUGUACAUUCAGAAUUGCUGACUUACGGUGCUGAAAUGCAUCUGAUAUGCACACGAGGCCUUGAACUUAAAAGAUGGAUGUCAGAAGGGCCCAGCAGCCAACUUCCAGAGCCAGAAUAUUUCUCAACAAAGAGGAAAUUUGUUGAGAGUUGGACUAAAUCUCAAGAUCCCUUUGCGUCAACAGAAGACUCUACAAAUACUAACAGACACCAAAGGAGAGGAAGGCAGGUCCAGUGCUGGGUUUUUGCAGACUUUACCAGGUAGGUGAAGGCUGCUUCUAUGGUCUAGGCCUUUUCAAGAAUUCUGUCAUCUCUCCUGUAAAAUACUCUGCUCGGCAUUGUAGCAGCUGAACAGUGGACGUUACAGUCAAGGUAUGAUUUUUAAAGUAUUUUUUAAACUGCUUUUAUUACUGUUAUAAAAGUCAUAGGGUUCACUAUAGUGAUUUGAGUUUUUAAAAUCCAGCCUCUGGCCCCAUGCCUCCCCCUCAGAAAUGUGCCAGGUGAGUCCUUCGAUGUUUGGGAUAAAGGAACGUGGGUCACAAAGGGAUGAACCUCCCCAGAAGGCUUGAUGGGCUCGAGGAUGCUCUAAGGCUUCCUUGGAGGCAGGGAGAGAAGGUGAGAACUUGGAAUGAAGACCUGAAAUGACUUGGAGAUAUUUUUGCAUAAUUUACCAUGUAGCUUUAAACUUCGUGGAAAACAUGAGUCCUCCUACCUUUAAACUUUCUCAUCUAUAAAACUUAAUCUAUUAAGGAAAAGUCCAGCAUCUAAAGGAGAGAGCUUCUCAGAACCUCCAUGUGCAAAUGAAUCACCUGGGGAUCUCGUUUGAAUGUAAAUGCUGGGGCUCGGUGGGGGGCUCGGGUAGGCCUGAGAUGCCGCAUUUCUACCCAGCUGCCUGGCCCCAGACCUCGCAGGAACCAGGCUCUAAAAUACAAAUCUCCUGAACACAUUCCCUUACUGGUAUUGUGUGUGCAUAUACGCAUGCUCUCUCUAUGUCUUUCUAGUCCUGCUUUCUAAAACAUUAAUUGAGAAGUAGGCCAUUGUUACAGAAGCCACAGCGCACGUCAUGAAAAAAACAGUGGGUACAAAGGCAAAACAUUGACAAAUUGAUACUUUCUUGCUUGGUCACGCCUGAUUUAAGGAAAUGAACCCAAAAUGGGCUGUGUGAAUUGGAAAUUGACUUCAACCACAUUUAAAUUGUUCUCCUUUAAAAUAUUAGCGCUUGAGUGUGUAAACCAAUAUUUAUUUUCUAAUCAAAGGUUUGCGGCAAAUUGUUUAUAAAUGAAAGAAAUGAGGAAAGAAUGCUUUAAAAUGUUUCUAGUAAUAGAAAUGGAAAUAGGAUAUUUUAGUUCUUUAAAUGGCAGACACAGGCCUCAACUAAAAUUCAUCCUGUUCAGGGAAGAGGAAAUCAUAUGAAAAACUGGUCAUAGUAUAAAAAAGCUCAGGCCGGCACCUCUCUGCCAGGGAUCAUGAUAAAUAUUUUUCAGUAGAAAAAAAAGUUGGAAGAUCCAGCCACAUUAAGGGAGAAUCUAUUAGCAGAAUAAUUGUAUAGAGAGGACCCCUUAAGAAAAGCUUCCAAAAUUCCAUUAUCUUAACUGUCACUCGCCACUUGGAGUUGUCUCGGCUGUGUGUUUUCAUGAAUUACCAGAGCUGUUUGUUUUUUCCUUUAUCAGUCAUCACCCUGUCAGCCGGGCCAUUCAUAACAACUUCUGGCAGCUCAUCAGAGUUCAGAGCCUGGCUAGGACCCUAUCAACCCUCACACCUCAUUGUGUGAGACUGUUUACCAGCAUUGCCUUUUUCUGUAAAUAUUACAAACAGAGCCCUGAAAGUGGAGAUGUGUGAAAACAAAAUGGACAAAUCUUGUAGCAGUUGGGCUGAGAUGGCAGCUGCGGGUGGGGGAGGGGGAGGGACCGAAAACUUCCAAGUCCUGUGUUUUCUUUAUUGGGCUGAAUACCGCCUAGUCAUCGGGCUUGAAUUCUUGUGUAUGCUGGCCAAUUAGACAGUAUUUAAUUUGCCUUAACAUUCGUGUCAGUUUGGUGAAAGUGAGACUUUGUAAUUAGGGAGUUCAGAUCGGGCCUCUGUCACAGUUCUGCUCACUUCCUCUCAUUUAAUGCCCCCCUUUUUCAGUGUAUUAUCACAUUUGAUGUGCUGAGUUCCCCCCGCUGUCUUUUAUGCUUGACUCGUGACAAGGUGGCCCACGUUACACAGCCAACAGCAAAUGGACUCAGUCUCCUGGAUUUAACGGCCUGAAGCUUCUGCCAGAUUCACCCUUCAGAAAUAGUUUCCUUUUUCAAAUGAAUGUCAACCAUUCUCUACUGAAGCUAAUAUCACCACCUUGCAAAUGGAAAUGGGAUCACAGGGCUGUGACUUGCUUCUUCCACAUACUGUGAAGCCUCUUGGAAGGGAGUCAGAGUAGAUGCACAUAGGCCGUCUGCCAUCUUUAUAUGGAGAUGAAGAUAAACAGAGCACAGAAGAUUAAGUAAUUUUUCCAAAGAUGCAGAAAUAGAAAAUGACAGAACUUGGCUUCUUAGCCACUAUAUUCUAGCUGCCUCCAACACAUGGGAAGAUAGUAGCUUUCAGGGAACAAAAUUAUUCAUCUUGAUACAGCAAGUCUUCAAUGAUGUCAAUAGGAAAACAGCCACAGCCAUGCUAAAGGCUUCAAGCACCACCGGUUUUGUCCAGAGGAGGCCAUGGUUAUUCUGGUGAAGUACAAGGCCGAGGUCAUUUUGAGCUGUCACUCUCUUGAGGGUCCGAGUCUAUGAAGCAGAGUAAGCUCAGGACCUACAGCACUGGACCUCUAGGAGGGCAACCUCACCAGCAGAUGAGGUCAUGAUGGAUGAUUCCUAAUUAUGGAGUCCUUUUCAUCUCUCAGUUUAUAUUCUGAGUUUCUACCUAGAAUAAAUUCUACUGUUUCUCAUUAA
Non-coding RNA from Sus scrofa (pig), 5246 nucleotides. Lineage: Eukaryota; Metazoa; Chordata; Mammalia; Artiodactyla; Suidae. The record is from RefSeq and is a predicted model, not a curated record.